GUCUAGGUCAUAGGAGUGUUUUAUUCUUGCAAAUUUUAACAAAGUCUUAGUCAUUUUUAAAUCGUGGGUGAAAGCAUUCAUGUGACAAUGUUAGAUUUCACUGUUUUGACACAUUUAUGGAGAUAAAAUUUAAUGUGUGUUUAUUUUGUGUUGGAUUAAUGUGAAAAUUAAUUUGAUACAGCAACUGGUGAAAAAGAGGGGAAUAUUUUACCCAGUUCAUUCUGGGUUUUAAGUGAAAAUUUCAGCAGUUUUACUUGUUUUAUCAAAUUCGAAUUUUAUAUUGGACUUAUUACUCUAUGGCAAUUACAACAACGAGUCACCAUGUAGUGGGAUUUUAGUAUUCUAGAUUCAUAAACAUUGCAAAGG
RNAcentral lists this long non-coding RNA (366 nucleotides) under Mytilus galloprovincialis (Mediterranean mussel). The record is from RNAcentral. Lineage: Eukaryota; Metazoa; Mollusca; Bivalvia; Mytilida; Mytilidae.